Cygnus atratus (black swan) is the source of this 5436-nucleotide long non-coding RNA. RefSeq lists it as uncharacterized. The transcript is spliced from 3 exons. NCBI's taxonomy places the organism in Eukaryota, Metazoa, Chordata, Aves, Anseriformes, Anatidae. The record is from RefSeq and is a predicted model, not a curated record.
GGCCCAACCAGCAUCGCUCACUGGCUCGGCUCUGGCCAGCAGCAGGUCCCUUUUGGAGCUGUCUGGAGCUGGCUCUGAUCUGACAUGGGGCAGCUGCUGGCUCACAGAGGCGAUCCCUGCAACUCCCUCACCACCAAAACCUAACCAGAUGAAUUUUAAAGCCAAUCUUCAAUCCAAAGUUGUACUCACAUGCUUCAGAUGAGAUUCAUUUUGGACUUGUGGGCAGCAGAAAGUGACAUUAAUGAAGGAAACAUCAUUCAGAAAUCAAGAUGUUUUUUCUGCCAGGCAAUAUCCUCUGCUACCUUGCUGAUCAUCUCAUUCCUGCUACAGAAAAUGACAAUGUGGAGUUGAGGUGAGUCCAUAGUGAAAUGUUUUAUUUAUAUAUAAGCAAGAGCCUUGGAUCUCUUCAACUAGGUACCAGUGUUUGCAGUCUGUCUUUCCUAGACACCCUGCCAAAGGGAGGAAAGUUUCACCAGAAGACAAUGCCAUGCACCUAAGCUGAACUUUCCUUCUGAACUGCUCUAUGCACGUUACCUGCACCCAACAAAGCUGCUUCAAAGAAGUUUGUUUUUUUCUCAGAAUGGAAGUUCAAAGCCAAAUAGCCUCAAGAAUCAGUAGCCAGAUUCGGUAUUCCAAUAGCUGCUGUUGUAUUUUUUCCAUGCAAAAUAGCUUGAGAUAAAUCAAAAUAUUCUGAUGCAACUUUUUAAUUUCAUUGUAAUUGUAAAUUAAAAAGCUAGCUGCAAAUUAGUUUCUACAGUAUUGAAAUAAUUCACAAUUAUCAUUUCAGCUUUUCUGCUUCAUAAAACAUGCAUUUUCACAUGCUUUGCUAUGAUCAGUUACCUAAAAAUAUGGGAAUUCCUACAGAGCUGGAGUUCCGUUUUACAGCCUGCCUUAGAGCUGGCUCUUAAAAUGUGAAGGAUGAGAAAAAAUCUUUGCACAGAUCCCUCUCUUCAGAAGGCACUUCUUUGGGGAACCUUGUGUGAACAAAGCUAACACUGAUUAGGCAGUCCUGGGACGGAAAAGAAAAAUCAAAAAAACUUGCAUUACAGAAUCAUGGAACCACAGAAUGGCUGAGGUUGGCAGGGACCUCUGGAGGCCAUCUGGUCCAACCCCCUGCUCAAGCAGGGACACCCAGAGCAGGCUGCCCAGGACCACGUCCGGGUGGCAUUUGAAGAUCUCCAAGGAGGGAGACUCCACGACCUCUCUGGGCAGCCUGUGCCAGUGCUCAGUCACCCACCCAGCACAGAAGUGCUUCCUGGUGUUCAGAGGGAACCUCCUGUGUGCCAGUUUGUUCCCAUUGCCUCUUGUCCUGACACGAGGCACCGCUGAAUAGAGCCUGGCUCUAUCUUCCUUGCAUCCUCCCUUCAGGUAUUUACAUACAACGUAUAUUUUAUGUAUUUAUAAAAUCCUGGUUGCCAUAGUUCAACUGACUUUGGCUGGAGCAGUUCUGAACUUUGUGUGAGCAUAUGCAGUUCCUACCUCACAUCUAGCUUUGGAGAACUGAGCAUCCUCCACCAAGCACUAAGCACUACCUGCAGGGAUCCUCUUCAAGAAAAGUCGAAGGCAUCCCCUACCGUGCCAAACAGACUUGGACCUGCCUGGGACAGACUUCCACUUUCAGAAUUGAGAUAUUUCUCUGGAAAACGUAAGUAAUGUAGCAAAUCUUUUAAAUCUCUGUGAUUCAGAGGAUAAAUUCUACCCCCUGUGUGCAUUUGUGCAUUAGUAACUGCAUGGGCUUUCACAGUGUCUAGUGAAGGGGUAUUGUGUGGCACAGAACAUCUGCCACGCAGCACCCUGCAUCUCUCACUAGAGGCACACUGCUGUCUGGCGUCCCGUGCUUGCCAGGUCCAAGCCAAGGCACCUGGAGCUGCUGUAGGAGAUGAGAAUAAGGCCUUUACCUCUCACACCUCAGUGCUAACCACUUCUGGUAAACAACUGACCCAUACAGAUAGCCCAUUUCAGGAGUCACUGGAAAUAGGCAAUAACCCUCUUAACUAAGACUGAGGAGAAAAGAAAAUCCAGGCUUUACUGGUAGGAAAGGUGUAUAUCACAGAGCAUGGGGAGGGUGGCUUGUAAAUGAACAGCUGCCUUCUCAGAAAGUAUUAAAUUAUUGUGGAGGGCUGCUGGCAGCGCUGUGUACUGAGAUGGAUAAAAAUCAGAGUCAGAGCUGAGAUGUGUCAUAAGGAAUUUUAUUACAAGAUUUUUGGAUAUCAGUGUCAGAAUUUUGAUUGGCUUCUCAAUGGAAAAAAAAAAAGAAAAAACUUUAUUGAUGUAGAAUUAAUGUUGUUUUAAUUAGAAAUAAUGGUUUAAUUAAAAGUGAUGGCUAACUGUUCAUUGUAAAAGUGCCAUGAUUGUUAUACUCUAACAAAAUAUUUGUGCUUGAAAGUGGAUAAUACUAGAACAACACCUGCUUUUUACAAGGCACCUUUUAUCAGUAGAUCUCAUUAGUAUGACCCACUAUGAAUAGGAUAAUCUUAAAAAGCACUUGGAAAUGUUUAUUAAACAUUAAUGAGUUCUGUCCACAGCCCUUGCGGGGAAAAACAUGCUCUUAUAACAAUUUGCCAGUUGGAUAAACUAAGGCAGGUGGUUUAUGCAAAUUAUUAGAGGUCAACACAGAAAAAUAGCACCUCGUGCACCUCGAAUGCACUUGUCCUCAUCAACCAGCUUCUGCACUCUUUGCAUUUGUACUUUAUUGAAUUGAAUUUACACAGACUCUUCUAAAACGCUGCUGCCACAGCUGCAGGCAAGGUAGCAUCUGGAAAAAUAUGCAAUAAUACACUUAUUAGAUAUGAAUACAUUCAAAAUAUGAGGCAGGCAUCAUGGCUCUGUAAAAAGUCCAUCUUCAGAGCCACUGGAGUUUGGACGUAGGUUAUAAAGCGGAAAGAUGAAUUAACUGCUGAGAACAGAAACUUCCAUUCCAUAUCCACCUCCUUAUUUCAUCCCAUACUCCUCCUUUUGUUGUUUGUUUACAAAAAAAAUCAACAUAUUAAUGGAAAACAAUAGUCUGUCACCCAAGCUCAAAUGGGAGUGGGUUAGCGACAAUCCUCUGCGCAAUCUCUUACAUCUGGAAUCUGGUUAUAAAUCCGAGCCACUGGCGGUUAUCCCAUUUUACUGCUGUACAACAAUGUGGGUAGAAAGUCUUUUAAGACUUACUUUUUCAAUAAACAGUGAGAGGCAGAGCAUGGGGAUGCCUACGUGCGUGCCAAUCUGGAAGAAGCCCUCCCUGAGGAGCAGCUUGUCUGAGCACUGCUGCUUACAGCGGGGUUGGUGGUGGGGCUGCAGCACGGGACCCGCAUGGGGCUCUUCUGCAUGACCCCACGGCCCUGCUGACUGCUCCACACGCAUAUCGGCAGGCAGAUUGCUCAGUGGUUUGCAAAACCAUCCUGAUGAGGAUUUUCAAAGUCUCUUCCAAUCCAUAAAUUAUGUUUUCAGAGACGCUAUUUAAGUGGAGCUAACAAGCUGCAUUGCUAUCGGCCAGUCUGCAAAAAUGCUGAAGUGUUGUUUGACAAGCAGGAGUGGUGACAUUUCUGAAAGAUUGUCACAACAUUAGUUAUUUAAUAUUGUACAGAAGUCAAAGACUCUUCCCUGAGCAGGGAUAUUUCUAUCACAGAUUCAGCAUACUAAAUACUGAAUACUGACAGGAUUACUGGCAGCUAAAAGUGAGAACUAAGUGACAUUUUGGACACUACGGUAGGGGUCUACUAAGCAAACCUUGUUGAAGUUUUGUUGAAUAUUCAGAUACAGAUGCUAAGCCGAGAACAUAAGCAGCAAGUGAUUAAAAAGGUAAAUACUAUUCAAUUAUAGUUUCGGUAGUUAUGUUUUUCUGGUUAUUUUUAAAUCUACCUAAGGAGCAAAUAUUCAUGAUGUGAUUUUUAAAACACAGUUCAAUUAAACAUAAAUUGAUUGAUUUUAAUCUUCGAGGAGCUUUAGGUAAUUGUUUGAGAUAAUGAAAUGAACAUGUAAAAUACUUAGAGGUUUAUAGUCACUGCAGUCCUCUUCUCUGGGAAGCAAAAAUCUACAUUCUUGUCUAUGUGGGACAGAACAGCCUAAUAGGUUCACCACCCAAAAGGUUCAUCUGUUCUCUCCAAGUCUGUAUAGUAACUAUGUUUGUUUGUUUUUUUGGUUGGGAUUUUUUUUUUCAGAAGAUGUUAUGGUCCUUUAAGUAGUUGGACACGUGCUUAUUUUCUAGCCCCACUAUACAUUUACUACUUUUUACUCCGUGUGGUACUGCAGAACCACUGAGGCACCUUCAGGGACACAUAACUGCAUCUGCUGCUGGCAGCCCAGCAGCUGCACCGCCGUCCAUCAGCUCACAAAUGCAGAGCCCAUGCAGGAUCCAGGAAAAAGCUGACUUGUCCAUGCUGAUGAAAGUCAUCUAGGUUUUUAAGGCAAAUUGCAUCUUUGAACUUGAGAUUUGAUCACAUCAUGAAGGGUUAGCAAAUGUGGGAGCUAACACCGCAGUUUCUAUUCUCACUUUUCAGAGCAGGACUGCCAGUUUGUUUAUCUUCAGUCAGCCAAUUCUAGCUCUUUAAUUCAAAGGGAGAUCUUACAUGAUAUAGUCAUGUGUAACAAAGGAAGACAGACUGCCUUCAUGAUAGGUAAACCUGUUAGUUUACCUAUCAGAAUAGCAAUCGAAAUGAAUACUGUAGAUGAGCAGCCUCCAGAAAUAUCCUGAAGGCAUGACAAGGUUAUUUUUUCCUGGGCACAAUAUAAUUACAUAAUACCACUAUGAGAAAGACGAUUGUUGUAUUCAAAUUAUCCUGGCAGCUGUAGAUUUCCUACAAUAGCUUUAUUAAUGCAAUCAGAAAAUAAUGCUCCAAGUCAUCUUGAAAGCCCAUAGCCCAAUUCAGCCAUGGCUUUCAUCCCGUUGACAUCAAAAGAAUCAGUGAGUGAGUGUUGUCUGCUCCAUCAGUCUCACAGGAGCAGAAGGGAGAGACAAAAGAUAUAUGAGGUAUCCUGGAAGACACAAUGGCUUGUUUUUAGGACAAAGUCAGGCAACAUCCCUAAACCCCAUUGAUCACUCUUUACUUGACCCGAAACUUUGCAAAGCUGCAAACUCUUGGCUUCCAAAGCUGCAAACUCUUGGCUUCCACUAACCAAAGAACUCUUUUGCCACUGUUUUCUUUUUAAAAAGGGCGUCAGCUAGAAGUGAGCACAGGGACAUUAGGAAGUGAGAAUACCUCACCAAGCAACUCAGCUGAGAUGGAAAACACAAGUUUAACAGAGAUCAUAAAUGCAUAAAGCAUUUCAGACUAUGACACAAGGCCCAGACAAUCAUUUUGUUAUAGGUGGAAAAUCUUUGAUUCUUAUCAAGGAAGCAAAACUGGAACUGAGCAUGGUGUACAUCAACACAUUUUAAAUUCACAGUGUGGAGAGGAGGAAAUUUCUCCCCAUUUUCAUUUCUCUCCCCAUUCUUGCUAGCUUAGGUAGCUGACU